AAUAUUGGACAAUGGGCGAAAGCCUGAUCCAGCCAUGCCGCGCGUGUGAAGAAGGUCUUCGGAUUGUUAUGCACUUUAAGUUGGGAGGAAGGGCUUUAGGUUAAUACCCUGAAGUUUUGACGUUACCAUCAGAAUAAGCACCGGCUAACAUCGUGCCAGCAGCCGCGGUAAUACGAAGGGUGCAAGCGUUACUCGGAAUUACUGGGCGUAAAGCGUGCGUAGGUGGUUCGUUAAGUCUGAUGUGAAAGCCCCGGGCUCAACCUGGGAAUUGCAUUGGAUACUGGCGAGCUAGAGUACGGUAGAGGGUGGCGGAAUUCCUGUGUAGCGGUGAAAUGCGUAGAUAUAGGGAAGAACACCAGUGGCGAAGGCGACUACCUGGACUGAUACUGACACUGAGGUGCGAAAGCGUGGGGAGCAAAC
Molecule: ribosomal RNA, 420 nt
Filed under: uncultured bacterium
Lineage: Bacteria
Description: partial 16S ribosomal RNA
Rfam family: Bacterial small subunit ribosomal RNA
Source: RNAcentral